GUGCGCUCAGCGCUGACUAGUAGCUGUCCCCGGGCCAUGGAGAGGGCUAAGCUGCCUCCUUGGGAGGUGGGAGAGACGUUUCUUUUCCUUCUGCAAUCUCAUCUUAGGGCCAUCUCUCACCAAGCCUAGCCUGCAGCUCGGGAACCCGCGAUACCCGGCCGGGGGACGACAGGGGGCGACAAACUGUAAGGUUUUCCCUAUGCCCGACCGUGCAGAAGGCUGCAGCGAGGGCUGUGUGCUCCCGAUCGCGCACAGCUGGCUGCGGGAAAGGGGCCAGGAUUGAGACGAAGGCUCGCGGACUCUGCUACCGGGGAGAACCACCCCCUCUCAUCGUGCGCAAUCCCCAGACUCACCCCUCUACAGUAGCCCCCAGCCACGGGCGGCCUUCACGGGGACGGGGGCGGAGUUUUGUCCUGGACUGCGACUCCUUGCCACUUUUCCAAGCUCGGCAGCAGAGGUGGGGUGGACGUUCCCCUGAAAGGGUAGUUGGGCGAACCAGCUCUCACGGUGUCACGACCGGCUUUAUUUCCUCGUCUUUAGAGUGUGCCUGUUGACUCCUCACCUACUGGGGGGAAGAAGCGGCUUUAGCUGCUUUUCCGGAUCACGAGUAUCCACUGGACUGAGGCAGGGAUGUGGCGUUCCUUUAUCUCAGAGACUCCAAGGUCUGGAAAUCAACCUUUCUUGGUAUCUCGCGCCCGACGAAGCUAGCAGAUUCCGCAAUGGAGAGCACUGGGCAGGGUCUCCAGGACCUCCCAGAGCCAGAGACUGUACUGUGUUCAUGCCGCCGGAGAGGAAGAGUUCACUUCUUUUAAACCUGAUUUUUCUUUUUCCAGGAGUAAUUCUUGUCUGUGGCCCCACCGCGUGCUCUCUCUAGAGAGUCCAGGAAUUAUGAGCCAGUCACUCCUGACAGAUACAUUUAGACAGGUGGAUUAGGAGCCAGGGAUGCUCUCUGGCCCUACAGCGGAGGCAAAGGGGUCGGGGCCUCCGCAGCCAUGGCUCCCCAGGGUGGGCUGAUAGGGUCCAUGUGCUCCUCAGCCACUGUCACCGCGCUGGCGCCAUACUCAACUCUGGGUGGCUAAGGAGAGCUAGACCCUUGGGGUGGGCAGGAGGGAGGGGAAGAGGGUUCUCUCCUCCAGGGGAGCGCUGGGAGUCUCAGAAACCUCGGCUGUUCCUACUCUCUCCCCUAUGCCCUCUUCCUGGUCUAGCACAUUCAGCCCAAUGCCUUUGGUGCUUACUGGGCUCAACCUCAGAGCUCUCAGAUCCUGACCCCCUCAAAUCAGUUCAUGUUCAAAACCACGAGUUUCCUCCUCUUGGCCCUCACCGCAUGGCUCCCGGACACAGUUAGCUGCACAGGUUGGGGAGUUCAGAACUGCUUUGGUGCAGGGUAGAAACAGAGAAAUUGUUGAUGUUCAAUCUCAGGGGUGAAUAAUUCAGGGCUGCGCAAAACCUCAUUUAAAUGAAGGAGAAAUGACCAUUCUGUGGUUUAACAGAGACUUCCUGAAGCUGCAGGUGCUGGGAGAAAGACGAGGCCAGGCCACCUGGGAUAGAGUGGUGCGAGAUUCCACCGCCAGGGAGAAAGGAACUUGUCCUUCAGACCUAGAGCUGGAGCUAUGCAUUUGGCCUCCCGCCGGUCGCGCUUGGGGACAGGAGGGCGCCGGAUCUAUGCGCCCCUUAGCAGCAGAUCGGGAUCCUUUUGCCUCCUGCCCCUUCUGUCACUGCUUGGAGAGGGAUGAGUUCUGGUGGCUGGGCCUGGCUGUAGGAGACAGGAUUUGGACCGUGCCCCUCUCGCAUCACCGAAAUCACCCCCACUAUUCCAAGAGUGGUUGGCUAUUAAACGUGAAGAUUUCCUGAGAGAAGGAUUGAGGACCUGGCCAGGAAUGGGACACAAGUUCCGCCUUGUGUCUUCCUGACAGGAGCCCUGCACCGCGCUGGACGCUCACCUUGACACUCCCAGCCAGCUGGGGUACUGAUCCCACCCUUCCCCGGCCGCUGCCCCGGGAGUGGGGAGGUAGAGAGAGCCACACCCGAAACACCUUUCCACGAUAAACUUUUAUUCUCUAUCUUAUUAUUAAUGGUGGCGGAAAUAAAACUAAAACCAAAACGAAAACG
This 2109-nucleotide long non-coding RNA is filed under the name Homo sapiens (human). RNAcentral's name for it is "HSALNT0265376". Lineage: Eukaryota; Metazoa; Chordata; Mammalia; Primates; Hominidae. The record is from RNAcentral.